UACGGAGGGUGCAAGCGUUAUCCGGAUUCACUGGGUUUAAAGGGUGCGUAGGUGGGUUGGUAAGUCAGUGGUGAAAUCUCCGUGCUUAACAUGGAAACUGCCAUUGAUACUACUGAUCUUGAAUUUUCAGGAGGUAAGCGGAAUAUGUCAUGUAGCGGUGAAAUGACUUAGAUAUGACAUAGAACACCAAUUGCGAAGGCAGCUUACUACAGGAAUAUUGACACUGAUGCACGAAAGCGUGGGGAUCAAACAGG
RNAcentral lists this ribosomal RNA (254 nucleotides) under uncultured bacterium. Its description in RNAcentral is "partial 16S ribosomal RNA". It matches the Rfam family "Bacterial small subunit ribosomal RNA", at positions 524 to 776 of the family's 1533-position model. The record is from RNAcentral.